AUUUUAUUAGUUUCAAAAAAAAUAUUAAAUUGCAAAUUUAGUGAUUAAGAUUCAAUUUUAAUAAAAUU
RNAcentral lists this transfer RNA (68 nucleotides) under Aegilips sp. ZJUH 20220002. RNAcentral describes it as "tRNA-Cys". Lineage: Eukaryota; Metazoa; Arthropoda; Insecta; Hymenoptera; Figitidae. The record is from RNAcentral.